This 465-nucleotide ribosomal RNA is filed under the name uncultured bacterium. Its description in RNAcentral is "partial 16S ribosomal RNA". It matches the Rfam family "Bacterial small subunit ribosomal RNA", at positions 338 to 795 of the family's 1533-position model. The record is from RNAcentral.
CCUACGGGAGGCUGCAGUGGGGAAUUUUGCGCAAUGCUCGUAAGAGUGACGCAGCGACGCCGCGUGAAUGACGCAGGCCUUCGGGUCGUAAAGUUCUUUCGACAGGGAAGAAAAUGCCUAUAAGUAACUGUGUAUGUAUUGACGGUACCUGUAUACGCAGCCCCGGCUAACUCCGUGCCAGCAGCCGCGGUAAUAAGGAGGGGGCGAGCGUUGUUCGGAGGGACUGGGCGUAAAGAGCACGUAGGCGGUGUUGUAAGUCAUUAGUCAAAGACUAGAGCUCAACUUUAGUAAGGCUGGUGAUACUAUAAUACUAGAGUAUCAGAGAGGAUUGCAGAAUUCCUGGUGUAGCGGUGAAAUGCGUAGAUAUCAGGAGGAAUACCGUUAGCGAAGGCGGCAAUCUGGCUGGAAACUGACGCUGAGGUGCGAAAGCGUGGGUAGCAAACAGGAUUAGAUACCCGGGUAGUC